AUUUAGUAACCAGUCUGCUACUCAGCAAUGACUGAAAUCAGUUUUGUGUUCAUGUCUUUUUGCUGGAAUAAUACAGCGACAAACAUGGAGUUUAAUAUUGGUCAUAGUCAUCCAGUUCAGUCAGAAGCAAUGCAGUAGCACCAGAGAAUCAGAUUCUGAGAUGUGUCAUCUUGGUGCUGAGGAAUGUGCAUUGGAGGCAGUGCUGGAGGUGACACUGUUGCUCAAGCAUGGCUGGUUAUGGUUAUGAAGCAGGCUGCGCCUGCUUCAUCCAUGGACAGAUGCUCACUCUGCCUGCCCCGACUCUUCUUGCUGCCACAGUUCUCCCUUUGGCUCUGCCAGCAGAAGAUGUGUCACUGUUCUCAAACCUGCACCUCUCCGAAAACAAGAGAUCUCUGGCCAUCUUCUGAGCCAUACUGAAAAGAAAUCUUUGUUUAUGGAGUUUCUGGAAGGCUCAGAUUUGUUUUCCUCCCUCUUGCAUCCUGCCAACACUGGAAGUGCCAAAACAUAAAAGAGAGGCAUUUCUCUUGGAGUUGCCAGCCACGGUUGGAAGGAGAAGUGCCAGAAAUCUCAGGAUAAAUCUGCUCCUGAUCUUUCCAGCACAGUCUUACAGAUUGGAGGGAUUUGGAGAGUUCAGCAAAGCAUCUGGGCUGCUGGAUGCCAACACGACCUGUGUUCCAGCUGGGGAUGUGUCAUUACUCAUUUUGAUAAGGACAGUGGCAUGCAAAGUCAAGACCAGAGGAAGGACUGCUGAAUGCUCCAGAGGUGGUAGCCAUCUGCUUGCAGAUUUUCUGUAUGUGAAAGCAUUGGCUCACUGCGUAUUUAGUGCAGAUGUCAAAGCCAAAGCUUCAAGAUUCACAUUUCAGGCCAUUUCAGUGGCACUGAGGACUUCGUUGAUGGGCUGCCAUUUUGCUGCAAUGUGUGGUCUUAACCAAGCCCCCUCUGAAACCUGACUAGCAUCUUUCAUCAUUCCCAAAACCUUCUUUGAAAGCAAAGCUUUACUCCCCCUUUGAACAUCUGAGGAAUGGAAGUGACCCAGACAGCAAGUUUGACUCUGCCUUCAUUGGUUUCCAGGGUGGAGUUAAGCCUCCCUUUUCCUGAAGAGAUGUUGGUGGCACCACCAGUGGUACAUCCAAGGAAAGCUAAACCCUUCCAGGAGCCUUGCGUAUGAGUUGAUCAUGUGCUAAGAGGCCAAAGUUCAUGUCAGAGAGCAGUAGCAUGGCAGAGGGAAGAGCCAAAUUUUCUUUGCAGUCUAAUAUAGAUGGCCGCAUACUGCUUUGGAUUUUAACCUAUGGCUCCUGGGUAGGACCAGUUUGCAGAAAACAGAUCAAAAAGCAGACUUUUUCUCUUGCUUUGAUGUAUGUUAGUCUGAUGGGUGGGUGCACUUGUUGUUUCAUGAGCACUUACUGUGCACAUGAACUUCAUCCUCCAGCAUCAAGGUCAUCUGCAAGUACAAGAAAGCCCACAUGGGCAAAAAUCUCCCUCAGGUUCUCUACCAAGAACUAAGAGGAUUGAACAAGAGAUGAGAUUUUAUUGGUACAUUGCUUGUGUAUCCAAGAAGGAAGAUGCUGGUGAAGGUCUGUAAACUGGUGGCAACGCAGGGCUGCAUGGACUUCCCUUGUCCACCAGUUCCUAAGACCUGUUAUUGAGGGCAGCCAGGAAUCGAAUAGAUUUCUAAUGGUGUAUGAAUCUCUACUUGAUCUCACUCUAUUUCCUGUUGCUAUUAUUUCAUUUAAUGGCUUUUCUUCAUUGCAGUCCUAGUAUGAUUCCUCUGCAGAGGAAUUUAUGUAAGUGUAAGUAGCUGAGAGAGGGACACAGCCCUUAAAUAUGGGUAUUUGGAGUAACUUUCUCUCUGUGUUCUUCCCUUACAGCAUUAAGUCAGGGCCGGACUUCUGCAUGACUUUCUUCCUCAUCUAUCCAACCCUACUGCUACCUGCUCCAUCAGAGAAAGAGACAGGUAUCUUUAAGCCAUCAUUCAGAAGACUCAUAAAGUCAUGAGUCAAGAUCUAGACCAUCUUUUCUUAACUGAUAGGCCAGUAACUUCAUCGAGUUGUACCCCUGCAUGCAUCCAACCCCGCGGAAAAAGUAGGGUAAAAAGUUCAGCAAACUGCAAACCAUGUUAUAGCAGACCUGCAAAGCACAGAUAUUAAUCCCAAUAAAAUAAGGAGUGGGUGGUGGUGGAAUUCAGUUGCCAGUGGCUGAUAGAACUUCAAAUAUUUAAACCGUGAGUAAGAUUUUUAAACCACACACAAUAAACUGUCCUUCCUUCAACAUCAGAAGAAAAUUGUUUUUCUUAAACUGGAUUGUCACCAAAACAAAACAGAACAACAACAAAAACCUUGACAGUGCAGAGCUUUCCUGUAAACCAUCAGUCUGGAUAUAUUUAAUGAUGUGAUUUAUAGAGAGUUUGCUUCUUAAGACUCAAAGCAACAUUCCUAUAAAAGCAUUAAAGAUGCGUGUUUUGGUAGUGGAUGGAUGACGUUGCCUUUCUUCCCUAGCUUGGAACCUGCUCAGUGGGUGACACCACUUGGAAAGAUUAAUUCUUCAUGUGUGGGCAAUCAGCAGCAGCCUUGAAGCAGCACUGAUUACAAUGCUAUCAUCCUUCUAGUCAAGAGCAGCAUCACCGCAGUUACUUAAGCUAAAAGAUUAAUUAAUGAGUUUCAAGUCAAAGGGAAUGUGCUUCCUUGGACUUCCAGCAUCAGCUUU
Cygnus olor (mute swan) is the source of this 2703-nucleotide long non-coding RNA. RefSeq lists it as uncharacterized. The record is from RefSeq and is a predicted model, not a curated record. The transcript is spliced from 4 exons. NCBI's taxonomy places the organism in Eukaryota, Metazoa, Chordata, Aves, Anseriformes, Anatidae.